This 449-nucleotide ribosomal RNA is filed under the name uncultured bacterium. Its description in RNAcentral is "partial 16S ribosomal RNA". It matches the Rfam family "Bacterial small subunit ribosomal RNA", at positions 354 to 796 of the family's 1533-position model. The record is from RNAcentral.
GUCGAGAAUCUUUCACAAUGGGGGCAACCCUGAUGGAGCGACGCCGCGUGGAGGAUAAGGUCUUCGGAUUGUAAACUCCUGUCAUGCGUGAACAAGGUUGCUUGGUUAAUACCUGGGCAAAUUGAUGGUAACGCAAGAGGAAGAGACGGCUAACUCUGUGCCAGCAGCCGCGGUAAUACUGAGGUCUCAAGCGUUGUUCGGAAUCACUGGGCGUAAAGGGUGCGUAGGGGGCGUGGUAAGUCAGAUGUGAAAGCCCGGGGCUCAACCUCGGAACUGCAUCCGAUACUGCCAUGCUAGAGUACUGGAGAGGUGACUAGAAUUCUCGGUGUAGCAGUGAAAUGCGUAGAUAUCGAGAGGAAUACCAAAGGCGUAGGCAGGUCACUGGACAGUUACUGACACUGAGGCACGAAGGCCAGGGGAGCGAACGGGAUUAGAUACCCGAGUAGUCC